GUGAGGAAUCUUGCCCAAUGGGGGAAACCCUGAGGCAGCGACACCGCGUGCGGGAUGAAGGCCUUCGGGUCGUAAACCGCUUUUCUGGGGGACGAGGAAGGACGGUACCCCAGGAAGAAGUCCCGGCUAACUACGUGCCAGCAGCCGCGGUAAAACGUAGGGGGCGAGCGUUAUCCGGAAUCACUGGGCGUAAAGGGCGUCUAGGCGGCGGUCUAAGUCCCGUGUGAAAGCUCCCGGCUCAACUGGGAGAGGGCAUGGGAGACUGGGGCGCUUGAGACUCGGAGGGGGGUGUGGAAUUCCCGGUGGAGUGGUGAAAUGCGUUGAGAUCGGGAGGAACACCUGUGGCGAAGGCGGCACCCUGGCCGAGUUCUGACGCUGAAGCGCGACAGCGUGGGGAGCGAACGGGAUUAGAAACCCUUGUAGUCC
This 426-nucleotide ribosomal RNA is filed under the name uncultured bacterium. RNAcentral's name for it is "bacterial SSU rRNA". It matches the Rfam family "Bacterial small subunit ribosomal RNA", at positions 354 to 796 of the family's 1533-position model. The record is from RNAcentral.